This 69-nucleotide transfer RNA is filed under the name Pteroglossus azara flavirostris (yellow-billed aracari). RNAcentral's name for it is "tRNA-Asp". Lineage: Eukaryota; Metazoa; Chordata; Aves; Piciformes; Ramphastidae. The record is from RNAcentral.
GGCGCAUUAGUAAAAUCAUUACAUGGCCUUGUCAAGACCAAAUUACAGACGAAACCUCUGUAUGCCCCU